CCUACGGGAGGCAGCAGUGGGGAAUAUUGGACAAUGGGCGAAAGCCUGAUCCAGCAAUGCCGCGUGAGUGAUGAAGGCCUUAGGGUUGUAAAGCUCUUUUACCAGGGAUGAUAAUGACAGUACCUGGAGAAUAAGCUCCGGCUAACUCCGUGCCAGCAGCCGCGGUAAUACGGAGGGAGCUAGUGUUGUUCGGAAUUACUGGGCGUAAAGCGUACGUAGGCGGUUAUUCAAGUCAGAGGUGAAAGCCUGGAGCUCAACUCCAGAACUGCCUUUGAAACUAGGUAGCUAGAAUCACGGAGAGGUUAGUGGAAUUCCGAGUGUAGAGGUGAAAUUCGUAGAUAUUCGGAAGAACACCAGUGGCGAAGGCGACUAACUGGACGUGUAUUGACGCUGAGGUACGAAAGCGUGGGGAGCAAACAGGAUUAGAUACCCUGGUAGUCCACGCCGUAAACGAUGAUAACUAGCUGUUCGGUCUCUACGAGACUGAGUGGCGCAGCUACGCAUAAGUUAUCCGUCCGUCGGGAGGUACGGUCGCGAAGAAGUUAAAACGUUAAAGGUAAAGUUAAGUACGGUCGUUGAGUAGUUGCGACGGCGACGACGAGGGAGGAGG
Molecule: ribosomal RNA, 610 nt
Filed under: uncultured bacterium
Lineage: Bacteria
Description: bacterial SSU rRNA
Rfam family: Bacterial small subunit ribosomal RNA (bases 1-516)
Source: RNAcentral